Molecule: non-coding RNA, 664 nt
Organism: Vicugna pacos (alpaca)
Lineage: Eukaryota; Metazoa; Chordata; Mammalia; Artiodactyla; Camelidae
Source: RefSeq, a predicted model, not a curated record
UCCGUUGUACGUCGCCCCAUGGGCGCCUGGGAUAUAUCCAGUGCGCGUCUCUAUUAUUACCGACCCUAAAUGGGGGCCAGAGGCGGGUUGGGGUCUAGCCAGUGCCGCCGCAGCUGCUCUCCGAGGCCGCAAGACAGGGGCCAUCGGCCGCGGUCCACGGCGGAGAGAGAGGAUGAGGCGGAGAAAUUGAAGCUGUGAUUUCUUUCCCUUUGUUCUGCUGGUCUUGGAGCACUGCCAUUCCUACUCAAGGCUGCUUGGGAACCAUCUGGCACUCUAGCCGCUCGGUCUUUACCAAGCAGAGGAGAGAAACGAUGCUGAGUUUCCAGUUCUUCAAACACUGGGCUUCUAACUCCCACAUUACUGAUCUAUUUCUCUUGCUCUGCCCUGGAUGGAAUUACAAGGAGAGACUACGUGGAGAGAUGGUGAGAUGACAUGGAGAGAGAGAGAAGCCCAGCUGCACCCAGCAUUCCAGAUACCCCUCCCAGGCGCCAGACGUGAAGGAAACCAUGUUGGAUCUACCAGAUCAACCUCGCUACCAACUGGAUACCACUGAGUGACUCCAGUAGAUGUCAUGUGGGGCAGAAGAAUUGUCCAGUAAGCCUUGCCCAAAUUUCUCACCCACCCAAUCAUGAGUAUAAUAAAAUGAUUAUUGAUUUCAGCCCCA